AACGCACAUUGCGCCCCCCUCGCGGGGGGCACGCCUGUCCGAGCGUCGCCACGAACGUCGAGCUCCCGCUCGGUCUUGGGGCUCGUCCGCGCGGGCCUGGGUCCUGCGGACGGUCCCGCAAACGGUAGGCGGUGCCUUCCCUUCACCACGAAAGUUGCACGCCUGCGAGGUCGCGGAGGAAAACAGUCGUCGACCGUCUGCAGCGGGCUGCCUUUCAUCUGAGGCGAUAGGGGAGGUGUCCGGCCGAAUGUGAACACUGACGGAGGGCGCGACGGUCUUGCCGGGGCCCCUCCAACCACGUUCGACCUCGGAUCAGGCGGGGAUACCCGCUGAACUUAA
RNAcentral lists this unclassified non-coding RNA (339 nucleotides) under uncultured fungus. RNAcentral's name for it is "partial contains internal transcribed spacer 2 and large subunit ribosomal RNA". The record is from RNAcentral. Lineage: Eukaryota; Fungi.